CAACCCUCAAGCCCCAGCGGCUUGGUGUUGGGGACCGGCCCCGGCCGCCCCCCAAAUGCAGUGGCGACCUCGCCGCAGCCUCCCCUGCGUAGUAGCACAACCUCGCACCGGAGCGCGGAGACGGUCACGCCGUAAAACGCCCAACUUCUUAGAG
This 154-nucleotide unclassified non-coding RNA is filed under the name uncultured Tolypocladium. Its description in RNAcentral is "sequence contains ITS2". The record is from RNAcentral. Lineage: Eukaryota; Fungi; Ascomycota; Sordariomycetes; Hypocreales; Clavicipitaceae.